CCGAGUACGGGUCUCUAUCCCCUUCCCGGGGGGUGGGGGCCCAGACCUCCCACCCUUGUCGAUCGUACCGUGUUGCUUCGGCGGGCCCGCCAUGGUUGGCCGCCGGGGGGGUUUGCAUUCGCAAGCCCCCGGGCCCGUGCCCGCCGGAGACCUCUCUCGAAACGCUACCGUGGUCAGGAAUGCUGUCUGAGUGGUGAGAAAUUGAUCAA
This 209-nucleotide unclassified non-coding RNA is filed under the name uncultured Elaphomyces. Its description in RNAcentral is "sequence contains ITS1". Lineage: Eukaryota; Fungi; Ascomycota; Eurotiomycetes; Eurotiales; Elaphomycetaceae. The record is from RNAcentral.